GGUUAGGAUUCGGCGCUCUCACCGC
Molecule: non-coding RNA, 25 nt
Filed under: Gallus gallus (chicken)
Lineage: Eukaryota; Metazoa; Chordata; Aves; Galliformes; Phasianidae
Also listed under: 3 other names
Source: RNAcentral